CUGAGGCUCGAUCCCGCCUUUGCAUAUGUCGAGCCUCCUUCCUCAUGACCUUUGCCACGGGCGGAGUGCCUCACGCUGGCCCCCAACACAGACCCACAGUCAGGGCUUUCUCGCGGGAGUCCUGUCUGUUCAGUGGGGUGUCGGGCCAGGCGAUUCUGAGCACACUGCCGAGGAAGCCCGGAGGCUGGGCCCCCUUCCACCACAGCGUGGGGUCAGCAGUACAGCGGGCAGGAGUGUGCGGGCUCGGGGGCCCUGCCACCCAGGCAGCCUCUCUCCUCCAUUUACGGCACUGCUCAGUCGAGGCAGGCCAGGGUCACCACUAGUGACUGAGUUCUGUGGAGUUAAGGACUUGCUCGGUAUUUUCACAGCUCUGUUCUGAGCGUCUAGAACAGGGCCUGACACGUACCUGGCGCUUGGUAACUGUUCAGUGACUGUAUCUGUGAAAUGAAGCUAACGGGGGUGCUCUCCUACAGGGCGAUGGGAUACUCGGGUCAUGUUCAUGAAAUGCUUAUUGCUGCAAGAACUGGGAGGGGUCUGAGAUUUUAGCUCCUUACAAGCUGACAAGUUGGUGGGUUUCCUGGGAGCUGGUGGAAGAUUUCAGAGUCUCAGGUCAGAGACAGGAGGCCUCACGACCUGCGGCAGUAGCGGCGGCCAGGGUGUCCCGUGUCCCUGCUGCCCUUCCGGACCCCCUGCUUUCAUGGGGCAAUAUGGACACAGAGGGAGAGGUCCGUGCGUGCGGGAAGGGAACCCCGAGCUUAGGGAACCUGAGUCUUUUGUGAUGGGUGGUAAGCAGGCUUUUUGUGGAGGGAAAUAGGUUUAUCUUCAAAGCAGUCACUGUCCAGACCUCCUUGAAAAGGCAGUUCAGGACGCAGGACAGUCGGUCCUCCUGCUUUAAGAUGUGCAGAAGCACGGAGGCCUGUGGAGCCUUGUUUCCCAGCAAAAAGCCCUGACUGGUGCUGUUGGCAAAGACUGGUCGUGAGGGGUUGGUGACGGUCACCUUCGGUUCUGUCCCAGACUGAGCAUAAGAGGCUUCUUCCUGCUGCCUUCAUCUAAUCCGUAUUCAAUCCUGUCUUCCCAGCUUUUGUUUCAAGACUCCUGGGUGUGUAUUUUGUGGUUUCUGGCACUUUCAUUACGAUUUGACUUAAUUUUGGUUACUUAUUAAUUUUAAGCUGUGUGUGUGUAUAUAUGUGUGUGCGCGCAUGCAUGUACUAAAUCAUGGCCCUUACUCUGCAGUAAUCCUUUCUGUGAUUUUUUUUUUUUUUGGAAGGGGUGUAGCUGAGCACGUCUGCUUCUCUCUUUCUCUCUCUCUCCUCCCGAUGUUCUUUUUCUCCCCUCCCCUUCCGGGCCUUCCCCGUUUCUUCCACAUUUUCGUAAAUGUGUCUGGCAGGUCGUGUGACACGGGCUGCUCUGGCUAGCCGCAGGGGCUCCACGUUGAACAGGCUAAAUUUCUCCUCCGUUCCCUGUUGGUCUUGUUUCUCGUAUUGUCAUUUGAAUCUGGCUGAGGGCUCAUUGCUCUAUUUUAUUAAGCUCAUGAGACCCUGGAAACCUUUGCAACAAUCUCGCACUUUACUCCUCAGGUUAGGAGUGCAGACUCAUGAGUGCGGGCUCGUGAACGCCGAGUCCCCUUCGCAGCCUGGGUUUGUCUCCUCAGGUUAGGAGUGCAGGCUCCUGGGCUCGGGCUCGUGAGCGCCUGAGUCCCUUCACAGCCUGGGUUUGUCUCCUCAGGUUAGGAGUGCAGGCUCCUGGGCUCGGGCUCGUGAGCGCCUGAGUCCCUUCACAGCCUGGGUUUGUCUCCUCAGGUUAGGAGUGCAGGCUCCUGGGCUCGGGCUCGUGAGCGCCGAGUCCCUUCACAGCCUGGGUUUGUCACUUGUGAUGCUGUCGUUCAGGUUGGUAGAUACUCACGGGUAGUGAUCUUUUCAGAUCAUUUAUUUACUUAUUUAAUUUGCCUGUGCUGGGUCUUCGCUCACGUGAGGGCAUUUCUCCUGCUGCAGCGAGCGGGCUCUGCUCUUGUGUUGUGGUGCACGGCUUCUCGUGGCGGGGGCUUCUCUUGUCGCGAGGCACGGGCUCCAGGUGCUUGGGCUUCAGUAGCUGUGGUGGUCAGGUUUAGUGGCCCCACGGCGUGUGGGGUCUUCCCGGACCAGGGAUGGAACCCCUGUUGCCCACAUUGGCAGGCGGAUUCUUAUCCACUGCACCACCAGGGAAGCCCACUGGUAGUAAUUUCUGUAAGUCUGAUGUGUACUGGUCUUUAGAGUUUUAAGUCUUCCAAAAAAGACAAAUGGCUGAGUCUCUACUGUAACUGUGCUUUUUUUUUUCUUUUUAAACACUUAGUUUAGACUAUGCAGUGACAAGGAUAAAGGACUUCAAGCAAGCUGGAAGUAACAAGGCCUUGUUAAAGUCACACCAAGCACAUGGGGUCCACCACGUCCGGUGACUCCGCGGCACGGCAUGUUCUGUCCAGGCAGAGAAUUGCUGUCCUUGACCUGGCUGCAUUCUCUCUGUGUGUCUGUCCCACUCUGGGUCUAUAUCUGGGCAUGCUGUUCUGCUGGAGGAGGGUGUGAGUUAAAGAUCCCAGGUCCUGGCAACUACUUUACGAAAGUAAAGGGGAAAGUAAGUUACUCUCAACGGCCUCAUCGAACUAUAAUUGUGAUCAUUGAGUUCUUGGUGCCUCUGUUUUCCCAGCAGAUGUAAAACUGGGUCCGCUUUUCUGGCGGGAGCCUGGGGGCCUGCCUGGUUGCUUCAAACUGUUCCAUGUCCUGUUGUAGACUGAGCUGUUGUUCCCUCUGAGGAAUUUUCAGCUGUUUUUUUUAAACACCUGGACUUCAGUUAGAACUACCUUGAUAGAAACGUGCCUGCCGCUGCUGCCAAGUCACUUCAGUCGUAUCCGACUCUGUGCGACCCCAUAGACGGCAGCCCACUCUUCUGUCUCUCCGAGGACCUUGCAGUUCCUGGCCUGUCCCCGACUUAGGUCUGGUGACCGUAGUGCUGCCUGUGCUUGACGAUAUCCUUGAUAUUGAGAAAGGAAAUGAUCUUUGGCUUUUCCUGUAGGAAGUUGAUGAUGGAUCUAAAGUGAAGUCUACAAAUUCUCUUUGAACCUCAGUAUCUUUUUCAAGCACUCUGUCUACUACUGAAACUCUAAGUAUUCACAAAAUGUGGUUCCUAAUCUCUUCAUGGUGUUUUGUCAAUAUAAUAUAUCCAGAUGGGAUUUAAAAUAUCAAUUAUUAUUUGUGUUCUCUUGUUGACUACAAAGACUCAGAAAUCCAUUAAAAGUACACUUUCUUCCUCUAAAUAUUCAGCAGUCAGGUUUCUUGAAUAAUUUCAGUCUUGCCUGCAGUGGUUGUAUUAAGUUUAUAUUUAGAAGCAGAGUCCUUAUUUGGCAUUGACUUUGCCCCAUUUUGGAAGUUUAUUUUAAAAGAAGCAGUUGAUGUGUUCUGGCUAGUAUUUGAAAAAUGUAACCGAUUCAUUCAGUUUCCAAAACAGCAAAGAGAAGAGAAAGAGCAUCGUAGAGUCUCAGCUUGUGGCCUGUGAACUAAAGUGUAGUUAGGGGUUUUUCCACCCAGCCUUCUCUCUCUGAACAGCGUACAAGCCCAGGGUGUCAGCUGUCUGACGCUGGGAGUGGACGAGGCCCUAAACCACGCCGUAUUGCUGGCCCUGCAUGUUGGGCUCACAUUUUGUCAGCAGCAAGGGACUCUCUGCUUCCCUCUAUUUCUUCUGCUUGAAGUGGAGCAGGACUCUGUGGUCCUGCCCCUCCGCAUGUCCUCCACCUGCCUUUUGUCCUUGGAAAAACUUUAGCCAAAGCAUAAGUUUAAUUAGAGAAAUGAGAGACUAUAGAAACAAAGGAAGACAGUCCAACAAGACUAAUAAUAGUUUAGUCAUUAAGCAAAGUCAAGGGCCUUUAGUUCCUCCUCGAGAGCUACAGGUGAUACCCUGAGCCACGUCCUGUGAGCUGUCUUAUAGAUACUGAAUCUCCUCCAGGUGGAGAAGUCAGCUGCAUGAAGCCCAGACUGUAGCCAGGACAAGAGCUGCCACAAUUCUGAGGAUGGGCCUCAAGGACAUGGGAACAAACUGACCCUGGAACUGAAGAUGAACUGUACGCAGAACAACCAAGAUGGUGCUGGUCAGACCAGCUCCGCGUGAUAAAUCUCUUUGCUCACACUCUGCGUGGCGUCCAGCUGGCCCUGCUUCCCCAGGGCACUCUGGUUGGGACAGGGCGUCCAGGGCGUUCAAGCUCUCCUGACACGAGAACCCAGCCGCAGGUGGCUGGUUGGGCGUCUGAGUCUUCAUUGGUGAUUCCUCUCUCCCUGAGAUGUCAGAUGUCAGAUGCUUUUUCAAGUUUCGUCUGAGAUGGCAGAUGACAUGGCUUUCCGCCCCUGCCUUGGAGGUUUCUCUAGUGCCUGCUCCCUGCUGGGACAGUUUCUCCCUGUCCUCUGAGCCACACCCGUGCCAUCGUUCAGAGUCACCAGCCACGGCUCCAGGGCGCGCUAUCCGUCCAGAGCAGACAUCCUCGGUGCCCCCCCAGUCUCCCGUGGGCGUCACAUCAGCUGUCGUGCCAGCGGAGGGCCAGAAAAAUCAGAGCUUUUUCUCAGUUGACGGGCUGUUGCUUCCUAACCUUUAUCCUUAGAUGGUCACAGAGCAGGUGGGGUGGUGGAGAAGGGUGACUGCAGGCAUGCAGAGGGGGCGGGAUGGAGGGAGACUGCAGGCGCCCAGCACCCGGGGGCCAGGUGGGGCUCCGUGCCCUGGGGAAGCCAUGUGAGGCGGGAGGAGCGGGGGGUCGUGCACACUGUCUCCUCAGCCCAGGGCCCUGCUUUAGACACAACUGACCCAGUAGGUCUCAAAUCUGGCCAUGCCACAGAGCUCCAGGAAGGGUUUGUGUGUGUGCGUGUGUGUGUGAGAUAGAGAGACAUAAAAACCUAGUAACUUUGAUUCUGUCAGUUGCACCAGGAAUAAUUUUACUAGCAAAAAAUGUAACUAUUUUAGAAGUAUGAAGUUUAACAUUCCAACCUGGAAGCACAAAAAACAAAUCUCUCUUCUGUUGGGUAGUCAGUUUCUGCUUGCUCAUUCAGACACAUGGUUCCCAGCCCCAGAGGCCUAAGAAAAGCUUGAUGGGAAAGAACUGUGUGCACAGAUGUCCAUUAUUUGAUGUUAGCUGCAGAAAACCACAGUCUUAAUUUGCGGAGCACUGGUGUUCCAUGGGAGGGGAAUUUGAGAACCACUGAACUUGUCUGAUCAGUUCACCAGAGCGAAACCUGGCUGCCGUGCCCCGCGUCUUACUCAAGAUUUCAAGGUCACGUAGCGGCAGGCAGAACCAGGACUGGAGCUCAGACGCCCACGCUGUCAGCUGUGCGUCCCAGUUUCAGACGAUGGGCUGCGUUUCUUUAAUAGGUGCUAGAAUAUGUAUCCUGGUGUGGUUCUGGGGCCAAUGUGGUCUCGAGAGGUUUUUCCUCUGAGAGCAGUGACCUUAUCAGGCACAGACAAUUUCCUGCGUCAUUACGAUGCUCCUUGGCAGAACGUUAUUUUUCUUGGUGACUGUGUCGUGGUGCAGGACGCGCAGGCAGAGCCAGCCCUCUGUUUUCCCGAGGGAAAACACCCUGAACAGUUGUCCCAGGACAUCUGUGUUCCAGUCUUACCAGACCCUAGGAGGUGUUUUCUUCCUGACAUGGGAGAAACUGCGGGUUGCCGUUCGGUGGAAAGAAAAUAAACAGGAACAUCUUCAGUGUGGAAAUGAGAAAGCGCCCCUGCUGAGAGAUGAAGUGACGUUUGCUCUUAAAUGCAUUUUUUAUGCUCAUUUUCGAAUCAUAGUCUCUGCUCCUUACCUGACUUUAAGGAAAGAAAUUUUGUUUGUCACAUUGUGAAAUUUAACUUUUUUUUAUUAUGAAAAAAAAAAGUUAUCAAUACAAUCUUAUUUUAAUGGUUAUCAGAGAUGUGUUUUAAGAACAUAUUUUUAAAAACCAAAGACUUUUUAGUUUACUGUGAAAAUCAGUAUUGGUUGUGUGCCCAAUUCUUAUUAGUUUACUAGUUUAUUUCAUGGUUUAUUUGAUGAGCAUUUGCCAUGGGAUAAUACUUCGAGGCAUGGUGUGCUCCCUUCUAGGACUUAGAAUUUCUUAAUAAAAAAAAAUCAAUA
Long non-coding RNA from Bubalus bubalis (water buffalo), 6118 nucleotides. RefSeq lists it as uncharacterized. NCBI's taxonomy places the organism in Eukaryota, Metazoa, Chordata, Mammalia, Artiodactyla, Bovidae. The transcript has 3 exons. The record is from RefSeq and is a predicted model, not a curated record.